GUGCUGUUUGCUCUCUGUGGCAAGGUGGUUGGCUUCAAGCUAGGAUUCCUUUGAGCCCAUGGCAGCAUCAGUGAAACCAAAAAGUUCAGUAGGAGGCAACCAUGGAUGUCCUGCAGCUCAUCUCUCAUCUGGCUGGCUAGAGACUCUUGUGCUUCAUGCCCAAUGAGGGCUGUAUGCAGGCUGUGGAGAGCAGGAGUGCCU
Molecule: long non-coding RNA, 201 nt
Organism: Fukomys damarensis (Damara mole-rat)
Lineage: Eukaryota; Metazoa; Chordata; Mammalia; Rodentia; Bathyergidae
Exons: 3
Source: RefSeq, a predicted model, not a curated record